UCUGAGAACCAUGCUUUACACUCAUCCUUAGACAGUGGAUUUCUCACAGUGAAUUUGUGCAUCGUUUUCCCACAUUUUCAGGGCACAAAUUUUCCUCUCGCUCCUUGCUAACUGUAUACAGCGCCUAGUGAAGCAUUGCCUGCGGUUUUACUCCAUGUCAAUGACAUCAUCAUCCAGUGUGACCAAGUAUUAAGACACGGGAGCUACAUGUGGAGCUAUUUCCUGACUCCCAUUUCGUCAGUGAUAGGAGUUUGGCUGGCUGCCAAAUUGAGAUUAGAAACAUCUUAAGGAGGGCAGUACAUCUCAUGUGCACAAAAGUAUUCCCCACGAAGAUGCACUGAGGAAUCUAACAUUGUACAUGAUCGUACAAAACAUGAAGAACAAUAAAUAGGUGUAGAUUUUGAUUCGUCCAGAUUGAUAGUUUACUUAACUCAGGUUGACCAGUUUCAGAAUUUGUAUUACUAUUGCGGAGAACAGAUUAAUUGAUACGUGUUCACGAAUCGAAAGUUGCCUUCAAUGAAAUUCGAAACUGAGGUUAUGUCUCGUACUGAAAUAUGUGUAUUCGAAGGUAAGGUCCUUUCAUACCUGGCAAAUAAUUAAAGAUAUAGUGUAUGCCAUUUGCAUUUGUUGUCAUUUUUGAAAA
Long non-coding RNA from Acanthaster planci (crown-of-thorns starfish), 643 nucleotides. RefSeq lists it as uncharacterized. The record is from RefSeq and is a predicted model, not a curated record. NCBI's taxonomy places the organism in Eukaryota, Metazoa, Echinodermata, Asteroidea, Valvatida, Acanthasteridae.